ACCAAUUCUGGGAGGGGGUAAAAGGUUCCUCCUGGUAUAAUGGCUUGGACGCAACAAGGAAAUGUGGGCAUCCUGAUCAAUGGCCUCUUCCCGUGCCAUUUGAUCCUGGAAACCCCACAUACAUAA
This 126-nucleotide small nucleolar RNA is filed under the name Nelumbo nucifera (sacred lotus). Lineage: Eukaryota; Viridiplantae; Streptophyta; Magnoliopsida; Proteales; Nelumbonaceae. The record is from RNAcentral.